Molecule: ribosomal RNA, 421 nt
Filed under: uncultured Corynebacterium sp.
Lineage: Bacteria; Bacillati; Actinomycetota; Actinomycetes; Mycobacteriales; Corynebacteriaceae
Description: bacterial SSU rRNA
Rfam family: Bacterial small subunit ribosomal RNA
Source: RNAcentral
AAAGGCCCUGCUUGCAGGGUACUCGAGUGGCGGAACGGGUGAGUAACACGUGGGUGAUCUGCCCUGCACUUCGGGAUAAGCUUGGGAAACUGGGUCUAAUACCGGAUAGGAGCCAUCUUUAGUGUGGUGGUUGGAAAGUUUUUUCGGUGUAGGAUGAGCUCGCGGCCUAUCAGCUUGUUGGUGGGGUAAUGGCCUACCAAGGCGGCGACGGGUAGCCGGCCUGAGAGGGUGUACGGCCACAUUGGGACUGAGAUACGGCCCGGACUCCUACGGGAGGCAGCAGUGGGGAAUAUUGCACAAUGGGCGCAAGCCUGAUGCAGCGACGCCGCGUGGGGGAUGAAGGCCUUCGGGUUGUAAACUCCUUUCGCUAGGGACGAAGCUUUGUGUGACGGUACCUAGAUAAGAAGCACCGGCUAACUAC